GCGGAUGUGGCGGAAUUGGUAUACGCGCACGUUUGAGGGGCGUGUGGCGAAAGCCUUGCGAGUUCGAGUCUCGCCAUCCGCA
Molecule: transfer RNA, 82 nt
Filed under: Aphanothece sp. CMT-3BRIN-NPC111
Lineage: Bacteria; Bacillati; Cyanobacteriota; Cyanophyceae; Chroococcales; Aphanothecaceae
Description: tRNA-Leu
Rfam family: tRNA
About the family: Transfer RNA (tRNA) molecules are approximately 80 nucleotides in length. Their secondary structure includes four short double-helical elements and three loops (D, anti-codon, and T loops).
Source: RNAcentral